This 484-nucleotide ribosomal RNA is filed under the name uncultured bacterium. RNAcentral describes it as "partial 16S ribosomal RNA". It matches the Rfam family "Bacterial small subunit ribosomal RNA", at positions 29 to 507 of the family's 1533-position model. The record is from RNAcentral.
AUUGAACGCUGGCGGCAUGCUUUACACAUGAAAGUCGAACGGCAGCGCGGGCUUCGGCCUGGCGGCGAGUGGCGAACGGGUGAGUAAUGCAUCGGAACGUGCCCAGUAGUGGGGGAUAGGCCGGCGAAAGCCGGAUUAAUACCGCAUACGACCUGAGGGUGAAAGCGGGGGACCGAAAGGCCUCGCGCUAUUGGAGCGGCCGAUGUCGGAUUAGCUAGUUGGUGGGGUAAAGGCUUACCAAGGCGACGAUCCGUAGCUGGUCUGAGAGGACGACCAGCCACACUGGGACUGAGACACGGCCCAGACUCCUACGGGAGGCAGCAGUGGGGAAUUUUGGACAAUGGGGGCAACCCUGAUCCAGCCAUGCCGCGUGCGGGAAGAAGGCCUUCGGGUUGUAAACCGCUUUUGUUCGGGAAGAAAUCCUCUGGGCUAAUACCCCGGGGGGAUGACGGUACCGGAAGAAUAAGCACCGGCUAACUACGUG